GACGAACGCUGGCGGCGUGCUUAACACAUGCAGGUCGAGCGGUAAGGCCCUUUCGGGGUACGACGAGCGGCGAACGGGUAGGAGUAACAACGUGGGUGGACCUCGCCCUCCAGCUCUGGGAGUAAAGCCUCGGGAAACCGGGGUACCGUAAUAACCGGAUAUGACUCCAUGACGCAUGUUGUGGGGUGGAAAGACCUUGUGCGGCUGAGGAUGGGCCCGGCCGGCCUAUCAGCUUGUUGGUGGGGUGAUGGCCUACCAAGGCGACGACGGGUAGCCGGCCUGAGAGGGCGACCGGCCACACUGGGACUGAGACACGGCCCAGACUCCUACGGGAGGGCAGCAGUGGGGAAGUCUUGCGCAAUGGGCGAAAGCCUGACGCAGCGACGCCGCGUGAGGGAUGACGGCCUCGU
This 410-nucleotide ribosomal RNA is filed under the name uncultured bacterium. RNAcentral describes it as "bacterial SSU rRNA". It matches the Rfam family "Bacterial small subunit ribosomal RNA", at positions 28 to 420 of the family's 1533-position model. The record is from RNAcentral.